UAGGGAAUCUUCCGCAAUGGACGAAAGUCUGACGGAGCAACGCCGCGUGAGCGAAGAAGGCCUUCGGGUCGUAAAGCUCUGUUGUCAGGGAAGAACAAGUGCGAGAGGAACUGCUCGCACCCUGACGGUACCUGACCAGAAAGCCACGGCUAACUACGUGCCAGCAGCCGCGGUAAUACGUAGGUGGCAAGCGUUGUCCGGAAUUAUUGGGCGUAAAGCGCGCGCAGGCGGUCCCUUAAGUCUGAUGUGAAAGCCCCCGGCUUAACCGGGGAGGGUCAUUGGAAACUGGGGGACUUGAGUGCAGAAGAGAAGAGCGGAAUUCCAUGUGUAGCGGUGAAAUGCGCAGAGAUAUGGAGGAACACCAGUGGCGAAGGCGGCUCUUUGGUCUGUAACUGACGCUGAGGCGCGAAAGCGUGGGGAGCAAACA
Molecule: ribosomal RNA, 427 nt
Filed under: uncultured Bacillus sp.
Lineage: Bacteria; Bacillati; Bacillota; Bacilli; Caryophanales; Bacillaceae
Also listed under: 1 other name
Description: bacterial SSU rRNA
Rfam family: Bacterial small subunit ribosomal RNA
Source: RNAcentral